Molecule: ribosomal RNA, 484 nt
Filed under: uncultured bacterium
Lineage: Bacteria
Description: partial 16S ribosomal RNA
Rfam family: Bacterial small subunit ribosomal RNA
Source: RNAcentral
AUUGAACGCUAGCGGGAUGCUUUACACAUGCAAGUCGAACGGCAGCGCGGACUUCGGUCUGGCGGCGAGUGGCGAACGGGUGAGUAAUGUAUCGGAACGUUCCCAGUAGCGGGGGAUAACUACGCGAAAGCGUAGCUAAUACCGCAUACGCCCUACGGGGGAAAGCAGGGGAUCGUAAGACCUUGCACUAUUGGAGCGUCCGAUAUCGGAUUAGCUAGUUGGUGAGGUAACGGCUCACCAAGGCGACGAUCCGUAGCUGGUUUGAGAGGACGACCAGCCACACUGGGACUGAGACACGGCCCAGACUCCUACGGGAGGCAGCAGUGGGGAAUGUUGGACAAUGGGGGCAACCCUGAUCCAGCCAUCCCGCGUGUGCGAUGAAGGCCUUCGGGUUGUAAAGCACUUUUGGCAGGAAAGAAACGGCGCGGGCUAAUACCCCGUGGAACUGACGGUACCUGCAGAAUAAGCACCGGCUAACUACGUG